GUGGGUAUAGCUCAGUGGUAGAGUGCGUGCUUAGCAUGCGUGAGGUCCUGGGUCCCCAGUACCUCUA
Molecule: transfer RNA, 67 nt
Filed under: Camelus bactrianus (Bactrian camel)
Lineage: Eukaryota; Metazoa; Chordata; Mammalia; Artiodactyla; Camelidae
Also listed under: 3 other names
Rfam family: tRNA
About the family: Transfer RNA (tRNA) molecules are approximately 80 nucleotides in length. Their secondary structure includes four short double-helical elements and three loops (D, anti-codon, and T loops).
Source: Rfam by way of RNAcentral